AACAGUUGGCGCUAGAGGAAGGGCCGAAUCUCAGAACGAUCGCAAUGGCACGGCGAGGUGGUCGUGGAGCUUCCAAUGCUUCCGGUCGCGGAGCCUCUCGCGCCUCCGGCCGGGAGGCUGCUGCGUCCCCAACGCACUCUCAGCAACACUCCACCGCCCCACCUCCCAUUCAGACGGUCGAAGCUGCUCAGUUCGACCAGCUAGCCCAGCAGGUUCGCACCCUCGCGGAGGCAGUGCAGAAUCUGCAGGGUGUGAUCUCUCGGGUGCCGCAGCAGGUUCAGGAGCCGCUGCACCCCGAGCACUCGCCUGUUCCCCACAACCCGC
RNAcentral lists this long non-coding RNA (324 nucleotides) under Phoenix dactylifera (date palm). RNAcentral describes it as "long non-coding RNA (PDAC_LNC020823)". Lineage: Eukaryota; Viridiplantae; Streptophyta; Magnoliopsida; Arecales; Arecaceae. The record is from RNAcentral.